UACAGAGGUCUCAAGCGUUGUUCGGAUUCAUUGGGCGUACAGGGUGCGUAGGCGGCGCGGUAAGUCGGGUGUGAAAUCUCGGAGCUUAACUCCGAAACUGCAUUCGAUACUGCCGUGCUUGAGGACUGGAGAGGAGACUGGAAUUUACGGUGUAGCGGUGAAAUGCGUAGAUAUCGUAAGGAAGACCAGUGGCGAAGGCGGGUCUCUGGACAGUUCCUGACGCUGAGGCACGAAGGCCAGGGGAGCAAACGGG
RNAcentral lists this ribosomal RNA (253 nucleotides) under uncultured bacterium. Its description in RNAcentral is "partial 16S ribosomal RNA". It matches the Rfam family "Bacterial small subunit ribosomal RNA", at positions 524 to 776 of the family's 1533-position model. The record is from RNAcentral.